Small nuclear RNA from Rattus norvegicus (Norway rat), 109 nucleotides. Ensembl annotates it as U5 spliceosomal RNA. NCBI's taxonomy places the organism in Eukaryota, Metazoa, Chordata, Mammalia, Rodentia, Muridae. The record is from Ensembl.
AUACUCUGGUUUCUCUUCAGAUUGUAUAAAUCUUUCGCCUUUUACUCAAGAUUUCCAUGGAGAGGAGUAACUCUGAGUCUUAAACCAAAGGCCUUGUCUUGACAAGGCU